Molecule: long non-coding RNA, 1578 nt
Filed under: Mus musculus (house mouse)
Lineage: Eukaryota; Metazoa; Chordata; Mammalia; Rodentia; Muridae
Description: long non-coding RNA chr6:86862872-86864450
Source: RNAcentral
ACUAUGCCCUGCUCUUGAAAAUGUGGGUUCUAGGGAUCAAACUCAGGUCCUUAUGUUUGCUAGCUAAUGUAUCUGUACACCAUUUAGGCUUCUUUUUGAGAUGUUGUCUCACUAAGUUGCCUAGGGUGUCUUUGAGCUCACUGGAUAGCCCAGGCAGGUCUUGGUCUUGAGCGCUGCCUCCUUCAGCUUGGUUAGUAGCUGAGAUGACCACCCUGCACUAGGAUUGAGUUCUUGUCAAUGCCUGUACUUCAGUGUCCCUUGUAUUGGUAUACAUUUCUCUUCCCCAUUCAGCCAUUGAAAUCAUGAGUGUCUGUCAUUCUGGCUGGCAGUAGUGAGUGUGUGGGCCCCAUAAUCUUUGAGGGUUUUUGUUUUGUGUUUUAUCUAUUUAAUUUGUAUCCACUUUAAAGUAUUAGAUAAUCACUUUUUAAAAAAAUUUUUUUUAUUAGAUAUUUUCUUUAUUUUCAUUUCAAAUGUUAUCCCCUUUCCUAGUCUGCCCCCCCCCCCCCGCUCCCCAACCCACCCAUUCCUGGUCCUGGCAUUCCCCUAUACUGGGGCAUAGAGCUUUCACAGGACCAAGGGCCUCUCCUCCCAUUGAUGACCGAAUAGGCCAUCCUCUGCUACAUAUAUAGCUAGAGCCACAAAUUCCACCAUGUGUUUUCUUUGAUUGGUGGUAUAGUUCCAAGGAGCUCUGGGGGUACUGGUUAAUUCAUAUUGAUGUUUCUCCUAUGGGGCUUCAGUCCCCUUCAGCUCCCUGGGUAUUUCUCUGGCUCCUUCAUUGGAGACCUUGUGCUCUGUCCAAUGGAUGACUGUGAGCAUCCGCUUCUGUAUUUGCCGGGUACUGGCGGAGCCUUGAAGGAGUCUGCUGACAGGAGAGAAUUACUUCUUUAGGGUCGGAGUGUGGGCUGUAAGUUAAUUUGUAUCCAAGUCAAGACUUUCCUGAUUUAACAAUGUAACAGUUGGUACUAGAGAUACAAAUUAGCUGAGUGAAAAUUAGGGUAGAUGUAACUUGGGGGCAGCCAGGCAGGACUAGAUUUGAGGUAUAGCCUCUCCUGUAACCCUGUUCCAAUAACACAACAGAUCUUUGCUGGGAGCUUCACAACUUAUUACAGUGAUCAAAACAUGGUUACUGUGGUUUUAGUAAAGUUGAAGAAUAACAAAUGCAAAGCAAAAUGGAACAUCUUCCAGAAAGUCAUAGAAACCCUUCACGGAUGGAUUCAGUUGUGGCCUCCUGGCACUGUUCAUCUCAAGAGCAGAGAUGUAAUAUCUUAACUCUAUAAGGGGAAUCUAAAACUCUAAAGCUACACUACAGAGUUGAAGACUAGGCCAGGUAUCAAAACUCAAACAUUACUGAGAGCACCUUCAAGAAAAUGAUAUGUUAAAAAAAAGGGGCGGGGGUGGUGAGGUGGCUGGAGAGAUGGCUCAGUGGUUAAAAGCACUGACUGCUCUUCCUGAGGUCGUGAUUUCAAUUCCCAGCAACCACAUGGUGGCUCACAACCAUCUGUAAUGGGAUCUGAUGCCCUCUUCUGGUGUGUCUGAAUAGAGCAAUGGUGUACUCAUGUACAUAAUAUAAAUAAGUCU